GAUGAACGCUAGCGGGAGGCUUAACACAUGCAAGUCGAACGGUAAGGUCUCUUCGGAGAUACACGAGUGGCGAACGGGUGCGUAACACGUACGCAACUUACCUUCAUCAGGGGGAUACGCUUUGGAAACGAAGUAUAAUACCCCAUAAUAUUAACAAUUCGCAUGUUUUGUUAAUUAAAGCUCAGGCGGAUGAAGAUAGGCGUGCGGCCCAUUAGAUUGUUGGUAAGGUAACGGCUUACCAAGUCGACGAUGGGUAGGGGGCGUGAGAGCGUGAUCCCCCACACGGGCACUGAGACACGGGCCCGACUCCUACGGGAGGCAGCAGUGAGGAAUAUUGGACAAUGGAGGAAACUCUGAUCCAGCCAUCCCGCGUGCAGGAUUAAGGCCCUCUGGGUUGUAAACUGCUUUUCUCAAGGAAGAAACAUCUGGAUUUAUCUAGACUUGACGGUACUUGAGGAAUAAGCACCGGCUAACUCCG
RNAcentral lists this ribosomal RNA (478 nucleotides) under uncultured Bacteroidota bacterium. RNAcentral's name for it is "bacterial SSU rRNA". It matches the Rfam family "Bacterial small subunit ribosomal RNA", at positions 28 to 505 of the family's 1533-position model. The record is from RNAcentral. Lineage: Bacteria; Pseudomonadati; Bacteroidota.